This 377-nucleotide unclassified non-coding RNA is filed under the name uncultured Caryophanales bacterium. RNAcentral describes it as "uncultured Bacillales bacterium contains 16S-23S intergenic spacer region". The record is from RNAcentral. Lineage: Bacteria; Bacillati; Bacillota; Bacilli; Caryophanales.
UCCGGUUUGUCACCGGCAGUCACCUUAGAGUGCCCAACUCAAUGCUGGCAACUAAGAUUAAGGGUUGCGCUCGUUGCGGGACUUAACCCAACAUCUCACGACACGAGCUGACGACAACCAUGCACCACCUGUCUCCUUUGCCCCGAAGGGAAACCCUAUCUCUAGAGCGGUCAAAGGGAUGUCAAGACCUGGUAAGGUUCUUCGCGUUGCUUCGAAUUAAACCACAUGCUCCACUGCUUGUGCGGGCCCCCGUCAAUUCCUUUGAGUUUCAAUCUUGCGACCGUACUCCCCAGGCGGAGUGCUUAUUGCGUUAACUGCGGCACUACGGGCGUCGAAACCCCUAACACCUAGCACUCAUCGUUUACGGCGUGGACUAC